GCCUUCCUGUGGGAUUCCCCGAGGAACAAAAUAUUACUGCGAUGUAAAACCGAAAAUUGAAACAGCCUGGUGAUUCACCAGAGAAAAUGCCUCUCCCUUUUCCCAAUUCAGUGAGGCGGAGACGAACGUUGUGGGGAUUGAAAGAAAAAGUGAAAAAGCCUUUAAUUAAUCCCCGGAGGUUAAACGAUGCCAGAUACGGACAGGAUUCCUCCCCUGGAGCAGGGAUGCGGUGCUCCGGCUGCAGCACAGGGCUGGGGGGGCUGAGGCUGCUCAGGAGAGAAGCUGCUGCUCACAGGGACUUUUGGAAGCGCUACCUGCCCCAGGGAGACCUGCCGAGUUCAAGGUCGGGUUUGUUUGUCUUCCGUCCUGACAGACACCGAACGUUUCGUAAUAUUCAGGAAGUCCCUUUUAUCAGCUUCCAUUCAAUUUAUAAGAUUAAGAGGAUGGAAAAACAAAUACUGCUCCUGGAUGGAAAGUGCUGGCAGCGGCCGGGCCAGCACUGUGUUUGUGUGAGGACUGUUAAUAGGGCAUCUCCUGCUUCCCCGAGCCAGGAGGGGCUGCCUGCAAAGUGUGCUGCUUCUUGUGAGAAGGGCUGUGCUGGGGGCAACGGCUUUGCUCGAUGUGCAGAACGAUGAGUAAAACACAGAGCACCGCAGCUCUCACCGGAGGCUGAAGGCAGAGCUCUGUGCUCAGAAAGCGCACUGGAAAAGAGACCACUGCCAUUUGUGAUUUGAGUGAUGGGCAGAGUUGGGAAGGAUAAACCACCGCAAGACCAGACUUCCUCAUUGUGAUCUUCUGCCUGGAAGUUCUGGAACUAUCAGGAGAAGCCUCAUCUGUGUGAAGCUGCUGUCAGAUGAGAAAGCAUUUGGCAGAGUGCAAAGCCGGGGCGCCACCCCUGCUUUUUGAUGCCAAUUGGUGAUGACAUCAAAGGAAAUACACAGUGAUCGAAAUAUACAUUGGAAAAAUACUCCAGUAUCCCCCAAAGACUGCAACAGAGCUGCAGAGCAGAGCAGCCCAAAUCCCCGCUGCCACCCUUCCCGUGUUGCCAUCGCAGCACCGGGCCCAGUGGUGCUCUGGGGCUGUUUGGAGGAGGAGCGCAGCACAGGGACGUGGAUCAGCCACCCCUGUCUGCAGAGAGCCCGCAGCAUUUGGGAUUUCUGUGCCCCCAAAGCUACACAGCACUGCCCUUCCUUUGAGCAGGUGAUGGAUGGGCUGAUCCUCUCCUUCCUGCUCUCCUUGUUCUCAAUCUCUGCCCUCGGCAAAGCAUUGCCCACCACGACGCAAGCAAGGUCUUUGCCCUCCAUCCCUUUACAUCCCCAUCCCCACGGGUAUGAGUGCCUGCAGAACUGCAGGGCUGUCCUUCUGGCUGCUUACGGUGAGCACCUGCAGCUCAGCUCUCAGACAGACCCUCUCAUGGCCGCGCACCGCUGCGCUCCGGGCCCUCACAUCUCAGAAAUCUCUCCCUGUACUUCAAGCAAACUUUGUUUUCAGCAGAAACUGCUCCUUUCAGCCUUCACCUCCAAACCAGGCCUGUGUUACGGCAGCUGAAAGGUCCCGGUUAAGUUAGAGGAGGAAGCUGUGCACAGAGCCACGGAGAUGUGCAUCUGCCGCUGCAGGAAAGCAGCAGCGCGUUCCCAUUGCAGCACGCCGGCAGUUGGGCCAGCCCUGAAUUACAUGCUGGAGUGAGAGCUUCCCUUGUGGUCACACAAAAAAGAAAGGCUUUAAAAACACCAUUUUAAAUGGUGCCCAGGGGUAUAUUUAAAGAACAGCUAGCCAAAUUCCACACUGCUUCGGGCCGCUGGAACGCCGCCGGGCUGCGGCGGGGCUGCAAAGCAGAUAAGAAAGCGCAGCGCUCGGCCAAUUAGUUUUAACCAUCAUUAUAUAAUAUUGAUGUCACAUUGAAUAUACAUAUAUAUAUUCUGGCGCGGCGGCUGAAAUUAAAUUGAUUUAUUAAGUUGAUACCGCGCGCCGAUGCCAAGCUACCAGGUAAUUGAUCAGCUGCCUCCAGUGAACUCCAACGUGUAAUUUCCAGCGCAAUUUGACUGAUCAGCAAUACCAUAAUUGGUUGCAAAUGUCCUUCCUUCUAUUUGUUUUGUUAAGUGGCUUUUUCAUUAACGCAGCGGAGCCAAGUAAAUAAAUAUGACUUUACUAUU
Gallus gallus (chicken) is the source of this 2153-nucleotide long non-coding RNA. RefSeq lists it as uncharacterized. The record is from RefSeq and is a predicted model, not a curated record. NCBI's taxonomy places the organism in Eukaryota, Metazoa, Chordata, Aves, Galliformes, Phasianidae. The transcript has 2 exons.